Molecule: long non-coding RNA, 533 nt
Filed under: Helianthus annuus (common sunflower)
Lineage: Eukaryota; Viridiplantae; Streptophyta; Magnoliopsida; Asterales; Asteraceae
Description: sRNA HanXRQr2_Chr05g0225911
Source: RNAcentral
GAAGUAUUGUUUAUCAAAUGAUCCAGUGACAAAGUGAAAGUGUUUACAAUUAACCAAAAUACAAUUAUGAUAAACUUUUCAACAGAUGUUUUUCGAGGCUAUUGAUGUAACGAAAUGUUGCUUUUAUAGUCUCUCCGGGAAUAUGAUUAUGUUCAGGUUUCGUCUCAUACAAAACCUUGAUGUCGAUCAGUGUCUCGGCUUCUGAUACUUGAGUUAACUUAAAAGCAGUCGUGUAUGCAGUAAACCCAUGGUCCAGAUGCCCCCCUUCCAGUAUUUCAAGAGCUAUCUGAUACGUCGAUUCAUCAUACUCCACAAUCUUCUCUAAUUGGUGGCUCACAUUUAGUACACCUAACACACAUGAAAAUGAGCAAGUGCUUACCCGGGCAGAAUUUGAAUAGCAGCAGGCUUCCAUAGCCACCAUCUCCUUCAAGCAACUCAACUUCCGCUACAAUAUCCGGUAAAACCUUGGGCACGACGUGCCUAUUGUCGCUCGCCAUUGCCUUCCAUAAGUCUUUGAUCGGCACAGAAACAGU